Molecule: ribosomal RNA, 731 nt
Filed under: uncultured bacterium
Lineage: Bacteria
Description: bacterial SSU rRNA
Rfam family: Bacterial small subunit ribosomal RNA
Source: RNAcentral
AACAGGAUUAGAUACCCUGGUAGUCCACGCUGUAAACGAUGUCGACUUGGAGGUUGUGCCCUUGAGGCGUGGCUUCCGGAGCUAACGCGUUAAGUCGACCGCCUGGGGAGUACGGCCGCAAGGUUAAAACUCAAAUGAAUUGACGGGGGCCCGCACAAGCGGUGGAGCAUGUGGUUUAAUUCGAUGCAACGCGAAGAACCUUACCUACUCUUGACAUCCAGAGAAUUUGCUAGAGAUAGCUUAGUGCCUUCGGGAACUCUGAGACAGGUGCUGCAUGGCUGUCGUCAGCUCGUGUUGUGAAAUGUUGGGUUAAGUCCCGCAACGAGCGCAACCCUUAUCCUUUGUUGCCAGCACGUAAUGGUGGGAACUCAAAGGAGACUGCCGGUGAUAAACCGGAGGAAGGUGGGGAUGACGUCAAGUCAUCAUGGCCCUUACGAGUAGGGCUACACACGUGCUACAAUGGCAUAUACAAAGAGAAGCGAACUCGCGAGAGCAAGCGGACCUCAUAAAGUAUGUCGUAGUCCGGAUUGGAGUCUGCAACUCGACUCCAUGAAGUCGGAAUCGCUAGUAAUCGUAGAUCAGAAUGCUACGGUGAAUACGUUCCCGGGCCUUGUACACACCGCCCGUCACACCAUGGGAGUGGGUUGCAAAAGAAGUAGGUAGCUUAACCUUCGGGAGGGCGCAUACCACUUUGUGAUUCAUGACUGGGGUGAAGUCGUAACAAGGUAACC